GAGUUUGAUCUUGGCUCAGGACGAACGCUGGCGGCGGGUUUAACACAUGCAAGUCGAGGGACGAAGCCAUCUUCGGGUGGUGGAGACCGGCGAACGGGUGAGUAACACGUGAGGAACCUACCCUCUGCUUCGGGAUAACCCCGGGAAACCGGGGCUAAUACCGGAUGUUCCACGUGGUCUGCAUGGAUCGUGUGGGAAAGCUUUUGCGGCAGGGGAGGGUCUCGCGGCGUAUCAGCUUGUUGGUGGGGUAAUGGCCUACCAAGGCGACGACGCGUAGCUGGAGUGAGAGCUCGAACAGCCACACUGGGACUGAGACACGGCCCAGACUCCUACGGGAGGCAGCAGUGGAGAAUCUUGCGCAAUGGGCGAAAGCCUGACGCAGCGACGCCGCGUGGGGGAUGACGGGUUUCGGCUUGUAAACCCCUGUUGCCGGACGAACUUCUCCUUCGAGGAGAUUGACGGUACCGGGUGAGGAAGCACCGGCUAACUCCGUGCCAGCAGCCGCCGUAAC
RNAcentral lists this ribosomal RNA (511 nucleotides) under uncultured Actinomycetes bacterium. Its description in RNAcentral is "bacterial SSU rRNA". It matches the Rfam family "Bacterial small subunit ribosomal RNA", at positions 9 to 524 of the family's 1533-position model. The record is from RNAcentral. Lineage: Bacteria; Bacillati; Actinomycetota; Actinomycetes.